Molecule: ribosomal RNA, 226 nt
Filed under: uncultured bacterium
Lineage: Bacteria
Description: partial 16S ribosomal RNA
Rfam family: Bacterial small subunit ribosomal RNA
Source: RNAcentral
UACAGAGGUCCCAAGCGUUGUUCGGAUUCACUGGGCGUAAAGGGUGCGUAGGCGGUCGGGUAAGUCUGAUGUGAAAGCUCGGAGCUCAACUCCGAAAUGGCAUCGGAAACUAUUCGGCUCGAGGAAUGGAGGGGAGACUGGAAUACUUGGUGUAGCAGUGAAAUGCGUAGAUAUCAAGUGGAACACCAGUGGCGAAGGCGAGUCUCUGGACUAUUUCCUGACGCUG